Molecule: long non-coding RNA, 2570 nt
Filed under: Gossypium barbadense (sea-island cotton)
Lineage: Eukaryota; Viridiplantae; Streptophyta; Magnoliopsida; Malvales; Malvaceae
Description: long non-coding RNA (GBAR_LNC002136)
Source: RNAcentral
AAAGGGCUUUGAAGCUAGAAAUUUUCAGCAACAUAUUUCCCUUGCUUGUAAGUGAUUUUAAUGUCUUUGCUUGAUGAUUUUUACAUUUUUGGAACCCCUAAAGCAUGAGCUUUCAUAAGAGGGGACUAUUUUGCAAAAUAAUGAAGAGUCUAGGGUUUUUCCAUGAGAGUAAAUGUGUUGUUUGCUGUGUUUCUAUGGAAGAUUAUGAGUCCUAGUUGUCUAAUAAACAACUUUUGUGAAAGAAAUUGCAUGAAAACACCUUAAAAAGGGCUAGAUUGCUAAUUUGUAAAAUGAGUUGUAAAUGUGUGAAAUAGUUGAAAUUAUGAGCUGCUAUAGUUAUGAAAAUGGUUCAUCUAGACUCAAGGAGUAAAGAAAUGUGAUAAAAAUUAUUUUACGAGCCUAGGGGUAAUUUGGUAAUUUUGGCAAAAUAUAGGGGCAAAAUUGUAAAAAAUUACCCAAGUGUGUCAAUGGACUAAUUUGAUCAGUACAUUGUUUUAAUAAGUUGAAUGUGCUAUUUUAGAUGAUGAAAAUCAAGAUUUGGACCUAGAACAGAAGAAAUCGAUUAAGGGAUAAUUAUGUCUUUUUUUUUCACCUUUGUGGUAUCGAGGUAAGUUCAUGUGUAAAUAAUGUAACAUAAUUGUUAUUUUUAAGUUAUUGAUGUUAAAUAUAUGAUAUGCUGAUUUUUAUCAUGAAAUAUAUGCUUUGUGGUUAUUUUUGAAUAAAAUGCAAUUUAUGUGUAUUAUCUGUUAAAUAUAAAGUGCUACCGAGUAUUGGUUUCGGUAUUUUACGGAAGAUGGCAAGGAUAUGUGUUCGAGGAAAAUCCCGUUUGAACCUUAGGAAUAGAUUAAGAUACAAGUGACAUGUCACUACGAUGGUUGAGCAUCCGAACUCGUUGAGUUGAGUUUGAGUUCACUUAAGUGGAUGCGAAUGUUCGAACUCGUUGAGUUGAGUCCGAGUUCGUGAGAUGUAACUAGGCAUCCGAGCUCGUUGAGUUGAGUCCGAGUUCACUUAUGGAUGCGAACGCCCGAGCUCGUUGAGCUGAGUCCGAGUUCACUUAUGGGUGGGUUACAUGGUAGCUUGGCUACAUAUGUGGCACUUAUGUGCAAACUUUCCAUAUAUCCGAAUUAUAUUCCGAUGUGUUCAACGGGUAGAAUUCUACUCAAGAUGAAAGGGACGUAUUGGUAAAUGUUAUGAAAUGGAUACUUUGAACUGGUAUGUACUUAACCCUCAGGUUGAAAACUUGACAUAACAACAAUAUGGUAAGAUGGUAAAUGAAAAUGUGAUAUGAAUGUCUCGGUGAUGAUUAUACAAACGAUGUUGUAUUAAUUUUGUGAACAAUGAUCAUGAAUGAGUAAUUUAGCCUUGACAGAUUUGAGUUACUGCAGUAGUGUAACUUUGAAAAUACACUAAAAAUAGUGGAAAAUGAGUUAGAGGCAGAAUAAAAUAUGGGAUUAAAUCUUAAUGAGUCUAUUUUCACAUGAAAGAAACAGGGGAAGAAAAAGAAUUCCAUAUUAUGUGAUAUUUGAAUUCUUGUGAAACAGGGUCUGAAUGAAUUCGAGAUCCCCUGUUCUGACUUUAGAAAUUCACCAAAAAUUGUAAAAAAUUAUUAAGAGUCAUACCUUACAUGCAUGGAUUCCUUAUUGAGUCUAUUUUUAGGGGAAAUAAACGGCAUGGUCGUUGGAACGUUUUACAGGGAGAAAUUCGGUUUGUAGUGCACAGGGGUCAGAGUGGAAAUACCCUGAAAUAGGGGAGACUUUAACUAAUAAACUGUACUAAUUGGCCUAACCAAAAAUUCUAUAAAAAAAUUAGUAAGUAGACAUAUUAGUCUAGUUUAAAUAGAAAUAGACGAGAACAUUAUUCGAGUCUUGUACUAUGAGAUAAUCAAACUUUAGUACAGAAGGGUCGAAAUUGUCAGACAGUGAAUCUAGGGUAAAUUUGAGGAAUAAAUUGUACUAUUUGGCUUAACUAAAAAUUCUUGAAAUUUUAUGGAAGAAAGGAAAAUAAGUCUAGUUUUAGGUAAAAUUAACAGAACUUGAUUCGGAUUUUCGUAGCUCCAGAUAUAAAUAAUUUAGUGACCGUUGCUUAGAAAGACAGCUUGUAGUGAACUUGAGAAUAUGUUGUAAACAUUGAUAAAACAAGUUAAUGAGUUGCUUAUUGUUUUCAUAUGAACUUACUAUGCGAAAGCUUACCCCCCUCUUCUUUCCCAUGUUUUCUAGAGUUUCCAGGUUAGCUCAGGUUGGAGGCCGUCAGAGAUAUUAUCACACUGUCGAGUUAACGCUAUCGGCGUAAGUAAACUCAAGUGAUUCUAGUCUAUGGCGUGUAUAGGGUUUUAAUGUGAGUAUGUAAUAUUAUGAUUUAGCCAAAGGCAUUGGCUUGUUAUUAAGGUAGUAUUAGUCAUGUAAAUUGGCCUAUGUCGGCUAAUAUCAUUAUGGGCCCAUAUGAUUAUUCUUAUGCAUGUAUGUUAUUAUCUCUUGUGAUGUGGCUUACAACAUGUAUGCCUAGAGAUUGAAUUGAGAUUCAUUGACGAGCUAAUAACUAAUGCAGGAUUAAGUGAUUGGUAAAUAGUUAAU